This 371-nucleotide ribosomal RNA is filed under the name uncultured organism. Its description in RNAcentral is "partial 16S ribosomal RNA". It matches the Rfam family "Bacterial small subunit ribosomal RNA", at positions 528 to 896 of the family's 1533-position model. The record is from RNAcentral.
GGGGGGGCAAGCGUUGUUCGGAAUUACUGGGCGUAAAGAGCUCGUAGGCGGCCUGUUUAGUCGGACGUGAAAUCCCUCGGCUCAACCGAGGAACUGCGUCCGAUACUGGCAGGCUUGAAUCCGGGAGAGGGAUGCGGAAUUCCAGGUGUAGCGGUGAAAUGCGUAGAUAUCUGGAGGAACACCGGUGGCGAAGGCGGCAUCCUGGACCGGCAUUGACGCUGAGGAGCGAAAGCCAGGGUAGCAAACGGGGAUUAGAUACCCCGGUAGUCCUGGCCCUAAACGAUGAAUGCUUGGUGUGGCGGGUAUCGAUCCCCUGCUGUGCCGAAGCUAACGCAUUAAGCAUUCCGCCUGGGGAUACGGUCGCAAGGCUG